Molecule: long non-coding RNA, 1491 nt
Organism: Anopheles gambiae (African malaria mosquito)
Lineage: Eukaryota; Metazoa; Arthropoda; Insecta; Diptera; Culicidae
Exons: 2
Source: RefSeq, a predicted model, not a curated record
UUUGCGGGUAAGCCCUUUUUCACUACCUAAUGUUCUUAAUGUACCUUGGUGCAAACGUUACCCGGCGCUCUAGCACCAAUCGAACACGACAUCGAACAUGAAAAAUGUAUGGGAUUUGACAUGUUUGUCUUGUUUGUUUGUGUCUGACAGUGCACCUCCAUAUGAUUAUAACCGUAUUAAUACACGAUGCGCAGUCUUAGAUUGCGCAUAUAUUCAUGUUAUCAAAAAAUAUGUCAUUUCGCGUAGCCAACCAUGAGCUUUAAACGUCAUUUCCAUACAUUUUCAGAUUGCGCCAAGAUUGCGCAUAAAUUUUCAAGAUUUAAUGUCUAAGACUUAUCCCAAAUGACAAUCCAGCCUGCUCUCACUAUGGCGAGCUCAAUGACAGCUGCUUCAACUCAUACUGAGAGGCUAUCAUCGUUUCCUCCUGCGUACUGAGCAAGCUUGUUUUUUCCCCUCGCUGAGGCGAGAUGAUUUUGUUUGUAUGGUGAGCAAAUCUAUCGCCGAUGAUUGCUCUAAUGAGAUGAUCAAGCAACAGCCGCUCACAUGAUGAAAUCAUGAUGAGGUCGGAUUUUGGAGUGAGUAAAAAUUUCUUCCCCACAUCGAGCCGUGUGAUUGUGUUGUGGUUUUAGGAGAACAUUGGAUCAUCUACGAAUUGUUUACAUUUGUAAAACGUGCAAUAAUUGACCGCGGGCUACAUUUCUCGAUUCUUUUGUUGAAAGAGCAUAUCAAAUAUCCCAAAUCAGUUAAAAUAUAGUGAAAUGUUGUAUCGGACACACGAUGCUUUGAAGAAAACGUGAGGGCAAACAUGGGAAGAUGAUGAACAUUGUCCCUUACUAAUAGUUGAUUUACAGCCUCUUGGCAUCAACAAAACAUGAAGCAGCGUUUAACGAUGAAGAAGAUACCCAGUUGUGCGAUGACCAUUAACCGUUAACGUUGGAAAUUAAGAGGAAUAUUACAUGGAUCGAAAAUACCUAGAGAGCCUAGAACCUACUUAACACCCAGAAAUACCGCAUCGAGUCAAAUUUAGAACGUAAAUAAUCGUCCACAAAAGGCCAUCUUUUGGAUUGUGGGUGAUUGUUAGCAGUGGCGGAUUAAGACGAGUGGAGGCCCUAAGCGAUCACACGAAAUUAGAGGCUUGAUUGAAGCGUGUAGCAAAGGAUUGUAUCAAAUGUCCUAACCAGCGAUUGAGUAGCAAUUUUACUUGUGAGCGGGGCGUAGGUGCCAUUUUUGGGGUCCCUGGCCGACACAGAUGUUCGACACUUAAACAACUGAAUACGAUGGAACACAUUAAAACUGAGAGAAAUACACAUCUAAUCAAUUACUUUAAAAAAUAAUAUAAUUGUAUUGAUUCGUGAUGUAUUUUGUAGUUUUGACCUGCAUGCACAAUUCUAAAAUAUUCCUAUGAAUCACAGACAGGCCUAAAGCCUAAAGGCCUGCCUAAUAAACUUGAAAAUUACACGCGGCAAAGAACCCUAAAAAAGCUAAAUAAAA